CUACGUGCCAGCAGCCGCGGCAAUACGGAAGGUCCGGGCGUUAUCCGGAUUUAUUGGGUUUAAAGGGAGCGUAGGCUGGAGAUUAAGUGUGUUGUGAAAUGUAGACGCUCAACGUCUGACUUGCAGCGCAUACUGGUUUCCUUGAGUACGCACAACGUUGGCGGAAUUCGUCGUGUAGCGGUGAAAUGCUUAGAUAUGACGAAGAACUCCGAUUGCGAAGGCAGCUGACGGGAGCGCAACUGACGCUGAAGCUCGAAGGUGCGGGUAUCGAACAGGAUUAGAUACCCUGGCAGUCCGCACAGUAAACGAUGGAUGCCCGCUGUUGGUACCUGGUAUCAGCGGCUAAGCGAAAGCAUUAAGCAUCCCACCUGGGGAGUACGCCGGCAACGGUGAAACUCAAAGGAAUUGACGGGGGCCCGCACAAGCGGAGGAACAUGUGGUUUAAUUCGAUGAUACGCGAGGAACCUUACCCGGGCUUGAA
RNAcentral lists this ribosomal RNA (481 nucleotides) under uncultured bacterium. Its description in RNAcentral is "bacterial SSU rRNA". It matches the Rfam family "Bacterial small subunit ribosomal RNA", at positions 501 to 985 of the family's 1533-position model. The record is from RNAcentral.